This 255-nucleotide ribosomal RNA is filed under the name uncultured bacterium. RNAcentral's name for it is "partial 16S ribosomal RNA". It matches the Rfam family "Bacterial small subunit ribosomal RNA", at positions 524 to 776 of the family's 1533-position model. The record is from RNAcentral.
UACGUAGGGUGCGAGCGUUAAUCGGAAUUACUGGGCGUAAAGCGUGCGCAGGCGGUUCGUUGUGUCGGUGGUGAAAGCCCCGGGCUUAACCCUGGGAAUGGCCAUGGAAACUGGCGAACUGGAGUGUGGCAGAGGGGGGUGGAAUUCCGCGUGUAGCAGUGAAAUGCGUAGAGAUGCGGAGGAACACCGAUGGCGAAGGCAGCCCCCCUGGGCUAGCACUGACGCUCAGGCACGAAAGCGUGGGGAGCAAACAGG